CACCCCUGCCUCCUCGACUUCACGCAGAACGUUCGGCUUUGUGACGUCACAGAACCUGCGAACACAACGUUCUACUGGGUCCAUGGUUACAUUAGCGCGAGACUCAGGUAAAGCUUUUACACUGCAGUGCUGUCCCUAAUACAGCCCAUACAUAAUGGGUCAGCUGGAGGAACAGAGGGCUUAUCAGCUGUGUCCUCACACAUACAUGUCGGGGUACAUGCCUGGGUACAUACCUGGGUACAUACCUGGGUACAUGUCUGGGUACAUGCCUGGGUACAUGCCUGGGUGCAUGCCUCUGUACAUGCCUGGGUGCAUGGCUCUGUGCAUGCCUGGGUGCAUGGCUCUGUGCAUGCCUGGGUGCAUGGCUCUGUGCAUGCCUGGGUGCAUGGCUCUGUGCAUGCCUGGGUGCAUGGCUCUGUACAUGCCUGGGUGCAUGCCUCUGUGCAUGCCUGGGUGCAUGGCUCUGUGCAUGGCUCUGUGCAUGCCUGGGUGCAUGGCUCUGUGCAUGCCUGGGUGCAUGGCUCUGUGCAUGCCUGGGUGCAUGGCUCUGUGCAUGUCUGGGUAUUCCUGGUCAGAGUAAGGACAGGUCAUAUUCACAGACAUGCAAGUUGUGCUGUUAGCAGCUCGCAGAUUACACGGGGUCCUGUGUUGCUGUGUUAUCCUGGGGGUUUUGGACUCAGCUGGGAGCCAAGAAUUAGAAGCAGCAAUUUGAUCUGCUUUACCUUGUGCUCUCCAACAUGUUUUUAAAGCAACCCCCUGCUUGAUUUAUAUCCUGGUGGUGGGUGGAUUAAUCUGCAAAGGUGCAAGGCAGAGCUUCACUCAUAUAAACAAGGGUAUCUGAUAACAUGUAUCUUCUCUAUACACUUGGUGAGGCAGGUUACAUGGAUUAUUAAUGUGGCUAGCACAUAUACAUUUACAUAUACACAUGGGCAUUUCUACAUAUACAAGUAUAAACUUACAAGUUCUAUAUAAGGAGCAGUAUCAUUUAGAAACAGAUGCGAUUGUGUAUUUAACAUCAGUUACUUUUAUUUCUCACUUUUCAUAUAGCUGGUAUAAUUAAACUGAGAGCCCUGGAGAUGUUAACCUCUGAUUUUGGGUACACCGUACAGACAGUCCUUUAAUGCCCUGAGUAAUUUGUAUGAUUAAUAAUAAUAUAAUUAAGUGAGUUACUCCAUGCAUCAUAGCCACUGCUGCCUGCUGGAGUACCCUGGCUCCAUUCUCUGGUAUUGGGGUAUAUUGUUCUACAAGAGUUUAUCCUCUAGUUCCGCACGGCGCGGAGGGUCCUAUCCUGCUGGUUGAACGACAUGUGGGUUCUGUAGAACUGCUAGAUGCCAAUCUCAGUGGCCAUUUAUUGGUUGAGAGUGUCAGCUGAUCAUUUUCAGCCAAUGAAUGCCCCUCUGUGCAUAGAAAUAUUCGCAGCACAGACUUGGCAUCAACCAGCCCAGAACUCUUUUUUUCGGCGCUUGUUAACGCACCAGUGACUCAGCAGGAGGUGCAAUGUAUGAGCAGUGUUUCAUCACGACUUAUGCACAUACAGACUUCAAGCACCAUGCCCACUUUAAAUCACUGUAUUAGUACUCCAUACUAAUUCUUCUCGACCUCUCUGUUGCCUUUGACACCGUUGAUCAUGCUCUCCUUCUUCAAACGCUUCAGUAACUCGGUCUCUGUGACUUUGUCCUCUCGUGUUUUUCCUCUUAUCUCUCCCAACACUCAUUCAGUGUCUUCUUUUCUAAUGAUACCUCCUUCCUUCAUCCUGUUUCGGUUGGAGUCCCCCAGGGCUAUGUCAUUGGCCCCCUUCUAUAUUCUCUUUAUACUGCCUCUCUUGGCAAACUAAUUACCCCAUUUGGAUUCCACUACCACCUGUACGCUGAUGACAGCCAUAUAUAUCUCUCCUCUCCGGACCUCUACCCUGUCGUCCUGCAACGUGUCACUGCUUGCCUUUCUUCCAUCUCUGACUGGAUGUCCUCCCACUUUCUGAAACUAAAUCUCUCUAAAACUGAACUCCUUGUCUUUUACCCUCCUAACACUGAUCCUCCUCUUUCGCUCUCCCUUCAAGUUAGUGGUUUUCACAUAAUUCUAUCCUUGCAAGCGUGCUGUCUUGGCAUCAUACUUGAUUCUGGCCUCACCUUUAACCCCUUAAGGACACAUGACAUGUGUGACAUGUCAUGAUUCCCUUUUAUUCCAGAAGUUUGGUCCUUAAGGGGUUAAGCCUCACAUACAGUAUAUUUUGAAAUCAUGUAGAGUCCAUCAAAACAUAGCCCGCAUCUGCCCCUUUCUUACACAAGAUGCUAUCAAGGAGCUUGUCCAUGCUCUAGUAAUUUCCUGCAUGGAUUAUUGUAACCCUCUCCUAAUUGGUCUUCCCAAAAACUCCGCUACAGUCUGUAAUGAAUGCUGCCGCCAGACUGAUUUUCCUCUCUAGUCGGUUCUCUCACACCUCUCCCCUCUGCCAGUCCUUACAUUGGCUUCCUGUAUCCUUUGGGAGUCAAUUCAAGGUACUAAUUAACACCUAUAAAGCACUGAACAAUUCUAGCUCCUCUUAUAUCUCUUCACAGAUCCAUAGGUAUGCCCCUUCUUGGUCUCUCCGCUCUGCCUGUGACCUUCUCCUGUCCGUUGUUCGCACCCGUACGGCCAACUCACGUUUGCAGGACUUCUUGCGGGCAGCUGCCUUCCUUUGGAAUAGCCUGCCUACUGCUAUCAGAUUCUCCCCUAGUCUUGCAUCUUUUAAGAAGAGCCUUAAAACCCAUCUCUUUAGGAAAGCUUAUGGCCUCCCAGAGUAACCUCUACCUUACAUAACUGUCUCUUGCUCUCUCUUUUUUAAAGGGCACCACUCCACUCUCUCCUCCAGCUCAGCUUCACUCCCACCUUAUUUAAUUUAUAUUUCCUGUCCUAUUGUGUUUUAUACCCCACCUCCUAUAGACUGUAAGCUCGUUUGAGCAGGGUCCUCUUCAACCUAUUGUUCCUGUAAGUUUUCUUGUAAUUGUCCUAUUUAUAGUUAAACCCCCCUCUCAUAAUAUUGUAAAGCGCUACGGAAUCUGUUGGAGCUAUAUAAAUGAUGAUAAUAAUAAUAAUAGUGCUUGGAGUAACUCUUUACGGGAUCACACUAAGGUUAAGAAUAUAUUGUUUCUAGCCUUAUGCUAGGCUGCAAAUUGAGGACCUACUUCCCCUUCCAGUCCUUGCAGCAGCCAAACACCUCAUUCUGAGAUCAUAAUGAUGGAUGCUUUAUCCACGCAUUGGGGACCUAUAGCAUAUGUGCAGCAAUGGCUGCAUUCCACCAGUCCUAUGCAUCUCACAGAGGAGCAGGGAAUCCAUUGUUGCUGUAUUAUAAUUAUUAUUAUUACUGGUAUUUAUAUAGCACCAGCAUAUUCUGAAGCGCUUUACAAUAUAAUGAGAAACAUUGACAGGGUUCAGUAUUGUAAUGCUGUGCAUGAUGAGGCCAAAUAUGAAGUUCUUUAUGAGUAAGUGUCCCAAGUGGCUUUCAGUCAGUGUGCUGUUUGGCAAACAUAAACAGUGCUGUUUCUCUUAAAUGACAAUGUUGUGUUUUUUACUUUUUUUUUUUUUUAAUGCAAAAGAAGAGGGAAAGCAUUUAUGCCCCAUAACCACUGCAUUAAGAUGUAGUGGUUUUCAUUAUUAAAAUGUCCCUUUAACCCAUUAAAAACCAAUAAUGGUUUAUGUGGUCACAGCAACAGCUGCAAUCAGAACAUCAGAGAUUAAUACUCCUGGUGCAUUAACAGAGAUUAAUUCAACUAUAUCAUCUAACCUUCUGAUAUAUAUAUUUCUAUAUAUAUCUUUUUAUAUUAAACACUGAAAACACAUAAAGCACUUCAGCUUGCUUUGUGACUGGAGUCUGUCAUUUUUAAAAAUAAUUUUAUAAAAGUUACGAUUUCAGUAGAAAUUGGUACUUUUAUUACUGGGUUCAAAAGGUCUUUCCUGUCCCCACUUCUCAUUGAGCUGUACUGGGAAGCCAUGUAAAGCCACAUUUGCGUGCAUGUUGAUGGCUACAACACAGAAGCUUCUCAACAAGAAGGGGGAGGAGGGCUUGCAAUAGCUGCAGAUAGCAAUCUGCAGUUUUCAAGAAUUGCGCUUUCCUAUACCCCUCAAAAAACAUGCAGAACAAAAUACAUACAUGUCUUCUUUGGGGUAAAAGUUUAUAUUUGCUGUGGAGGUGUUCGUUUAACAUUGUAGACAGCACUCUUUUUUAUUUUUAUUUUUUUUAUUGUUUUAUUUUUAUAGUUUAAUUCAUAUAAUGUAUUUAAACAUUAAGGGCUACUCCAACCACCAUGAUCACUUAUGCAUUUGGUCAUGGCGGUCAUAGCUGAAAAGAGACAACAAGUUCAGCUUUUCUCACUUUUGUUUUUGCUGUUGAUUUAACCCCUUAAGGACACAUGACGGAAAUAUUCCAUCAUGAUUCCCUUUGAUUCCAGAAGUUGUGUCCUUAAGGGGUUAAAAGAAGGUUAAAAAACCCAGCCUCAAGUGCUUCCAAAUUUGCCACUAACUAGGAAAAAAUUCCUUCUUGACCCCAGAAUGGCAGUCAGAUCUCUCCUUGGAUCAAUCCGCUAUUACUCAACAAUUUAAAAAUGAUAUCCCUGUGUAUUACGUUUUUGCAAGUAUUUUUCCAAUUGCUGUUUAAACAUCUGCAUAGAACUACCUCUUCAGGCAGAGAAGUCUGCACCCUUAUUGUUCUUACUGUAAACCCCGAUGCCACCUUCCCCCCCAAAAAAACAGACAAUGGUUUGUAUUGACCCCGAAUGUAUUUUUUCAUAUAAAAUUGUUCAUUCUUUUGUAGCCACCCUCUGCACUUUUUCUAGUGCCAUAAUAUUCUUCUUUAGAACAUGUGCUCACAAUUGCAUAGCAUAUUCAAGGUGUGGUCUUGAAUAUAUGAUUUAGUGAUUUAUAAAGAGACAAUUAUAUUUUCAUCCUUAUAAUUAAUGCCCCUUUUUAUACAUGACAAAACCCUACUGGCCUUAGCAACUGCCGAUUGAUAUUGCACAUUGUUGCCUAGUGUGUUGUCAAAAACAAUUCCCAAAUCCUUCUCGUGUAUUGUUAUCCAUAUGGUGUAAGUUGCUUGUGCAUUCUUGAAGUGCAUAACUUUGCAUUUAAUCAACAUUAAAGUUCAUCUGCCAUUUAAGUGCCCAGUUUCCCAAUCUAUCUAAAUCACUCUGCAGCAAAGCAAUAACCUGCUCACACUUUUUUAUUUUACAGAAUUUUGUGUCAUCUGCAAACACUGAAACAUGGCUUUCAAUGCCUAUUUCAAGAUAAUUUCUAAAUAAAUUAAAUAGAAGCGGUCCCAGAACAGAACCCUGAGGGACAACACUUACACUUUUGUCCAGCUUGAACGUUUACCACUAAUAACAACUCUCUGUACUCUAACUUUAGCCAAUGUUCUACCCAUGAACAAGAAUUGUCAUCUAGACCAAGUUCUUUUAGUUGGAGCACUAACCUAUUCGGAGGAACGUUAUCAAAGGCCUUGGCAAAAUCCCAGUAUAUCAAAUUCUCGGAUACUCCCUGAACUAUACAUCUACUCACUUCUUUGUAUAAUGCAAUUAGGUUAGUUUGACAUGACCUAUGUUUCAUAAAACCAUGCCGACUAUUGCUAAUAACAAUAUUCCUCUCAAUUAAUUCCUAAAUAUUAUCCCUUAAUAACCCUUCAAAUACUUUCUCAGCCACAUAAGUUAAGUUCACAGGUCUGUAAUUUCCAGGCAAAUAUUUUAACCCUCUUUGAAUAUAGGAACCACAUCUAUCUUCCCCCAAUCCUCUUGUGUGAUUAAUGAAAGAAAAUAAUCUUAAAAGAUUAAAACCAGAGAUUCACUUAUAUCCACACUUGGCUCCUUAAGUACUCAUGGGUGAAUACUGUCAGGCCCCUGGAGCUUUGUUUACAUUAACUUUCUUUUGCGGCUAUAUCACAUUGUCUUGAGUCAGCCAAUCACAAAUUUUCUGCAAGUUUUUUUUGUAGCAAUAUUUACAUAUCUCUUGCCAUAGGAUCCUCCUUAAUAUUUAUUGAGAACAAAUAGUUUAUUAAAAUUUUCUGUCUCUUCACUUUCACUUUAUUUUUGUUUUUUAGAAUGUACUUAAAAAAAAAUAUUUGGGGGAGGGCCUUGGCUGGUUGUGUAACGGCAUAUACCUGUUCUUGCAGAGCUCUGUCCUAACUUAAUCAGAAGCACCCAGUGACAUUGUAGCAGGUAUGUCGCAUUGCGCUCUGUCAUCAAAUCCUGCCCCAGAGAGUUUGGAAAUAUCCACUUCGAGGGCUGCACGAUGGCAAUCUAUGGGGACCUCCUUGUUGUAUUGCUAGAGAGAAGGCAGCAGGCUACUACGAGGGGCCACGAUCAAGUACCGCCAGGGGGUCGUUUGCUCUUUUUCCAGUCUCUGUGUGAGGGUGCUGUGUGUGUAAGGGAGCUGUGUGUGUGUAUGUGUGAGGGUGCUGUGUGUAAGGGUGCUGUGUGUGUGAGGUUCCUGUGUGGGGGGUGCUGUGAGGGUGCUGUGUGUGUGUGUAAGGGUGCUGUGUAUAUGUGUGAGGGUGCUGUGUGUGGGGGGUGCUGUAUGUGGGUGCUGUAUGUUUGUGUGAUUGUGUGUAUUGUGUGGGGGCCGUUUAGUAAAUAUCCCCCCCUCCCUUCCUACCUUAUGCCAGGGAGGGGGGAUCCUUUCUGCUGCUUCCAUCCCUGGUGGUCCAGUGGAGAGUUAACGCUAGCCUGGGGGGCUAGAGUUCACUCUCGUGAGAUCUGAGCGUUGCCAUGGCAAUGCUCAGAAUCCCGCGAGAGGAACCCGACGGAGCUACUGGCAAGAGCUCCCCGGGUCCUCUCCUGACUCCCUCCCUGCCUGUGGGUCGGUGGGGAAGGAGGUUGUGGUAUUGUAACACCUUUUGUAUACUUUCAUACACUAAUCUAGUUGUAUUUUGGAUACAUAAAAGCCAAUAAAAUACAAACUGGAACAAAAAAAUGUUUUGGGGUUGGUUUUACUCACUUUGGCUACCAAUUAUAAUUUUCCAAUUCAACCACUCUAUCUGUCAUGGUGGUAGGAUUCUGGAUGUGGAUUGUCUCAGUUUGAAACACUGCACCUUAAGAGAGAUUUUCAAUUUUAUGCUGGGGUUUAUUUGCACCCCAGCACACGUGACUUUGGAAGCCCAAAAUGUUGCCGACAGCACUGUGGGUGCUCCCUUCCACCUCCUUUUGUUAAAUAAAUGGGAGCAAUCUUCCCUCCCGCCUCUUUCCCUUUCCCCACCUUCUCUAUGAGAAACCUGUGAUUGAACCAUGGUGAUGUUAUGACAGAGCCGCAAAAUUAAUUUCCAGUAGGGCAGGGUUCAGCAACCUAUAUGUGCCAUGAAUGACAUUCUUUGCACUGAAGUCAAGACUGCCAGAGCCAAACAAGUCUUUACUACACACUGAGUGGUGAGGAGCAAUCCUCAAUUUACGCAUUGCAGCACUUAGAGAAAGUAAUCUCAGAUCACUUCAUCCCAACACUUGUGAACAGGAAUUCACACUGGAGUAGAGCAAAUUGUACCUGGCCAGCCCGGUUCCCACUGGACCCUAGAGAGCCUUCACUCAUACAAUUACAUCGUAAUAGAAACAACCUAGACACUAACACAGUCCCCACAACCACAACACCACUGACAAUGCACAUACAUGCACACAACCCCCCAAGCAGCUCCACACAUACACACAAUGUGACAUAUCAUCCACACAUAAUUCCAUAGACAGUCCACAUUCAUAUGUAUCAUACACAGUACCACAAACUACUCAUGAAUGUAUGCCGUACAAUAUAACAGCCCACAUAUGCACAACUACAACGCUACAAAGCAAUUUCAGCACCCAUAAACAAGAAUACACACUUCAAUUGAAAAAGAGGAAUGACACGCCAAGAGACUUCAAAAUCUUACUUUGUCACAGUUCUAUUAAAAGGUUGCUGUUCAUUGCCAUAGAGCUUUUAUAAUAUAAAUUGAGCGGGGUUUAAUCGGGGAUGAAGUAACCCUUUAUAGAAAAAGGGAGAGGGAGGGAGGGGGGUAAGCACUCAAAACAGUAGUAUAAGCAGGUGUGUAUAUAUACAGUAACAAGUGAAUUUAAGUUAUGAAAGAAAAAAAUCACUGAGUAAUGGAUGCAAAUCGAUCCUUUUACAGUGUUACCCUCUGAGAGUGGAAAACACAGGUAUAUAUCUACCUAGCCACAAAGAACAAUAGCUGAACACAGAAAAUAAAUAUAAUGAUUGAAGUAGAAAAUGGCUUGAUUUUUAUUUUAUUUUUUUUACUCCGUCAUCAUCCUGUUUCUGAGGUCAGAGUAGCUUUUUUUUGUUGUUGCAAAUAAUAGACAAUCAAUACAUUUCCAAAUAAUGGCCUCGAUUUUAUUAUUUUUGUGUAAGCUCUUCGUGUGAUCACAAUCUGUUAGAAAAACAUUUUAACUGAUUUAUUUACAGAAAUCACUAUUAAAGUCUAGGAGAAUGGACAGGUAUGGGAGGCCACAAAAAUGAGCCUAUAAACAGCUAGGCCGCCUCAGCUAUUGUCUUACCCUCUGUACAUAGUUAUAACAAAUCUGUUGAGUUAAAGAUUACUAAAUCCUGUUUUGUAGUACUGUGUUUUUUUUACCUUUGCCAAAUUCCUACAUAAAUGCUUCUUACUUUGUGUUUCUGUUGGACUCCUCUUUAUGUUAACCCUCUCGGCAACAGAAAAGCUUGUCAGGAACUUUACAGCCAUCUGCCCCAAAUGCCGUAUGUUCUAAGCAUUGUGGGAAACCUUGCAUAUAAAAUGGGGUGGCCAGUCCUAAUCAUAGCUAGUGGCCUCAAUGGAGGAGUCAUAUGAGAUAUUCAGGUUAAUAAUGCUUUUACUCAGGGGAGUUAACAGCUGCCAAAAAUACCAGGAACUUCAGCACAAGUUGUGUGCCCCCAACCCCAUAUGAUAUAUUUCUUUCCUAUUCAAAACCAUGAUUGUUGUUAUAUCAUGAUAUAAUUUGAAAUUGGAUAAACUCGAGGUUCCAUAGAAAUAGUUAUUGGAAGAGCUUCAGUUUGUUUUACUUCUCUCUUAAUAUCACAAACGGUCAUAUAGAUACAAAUAACACCUCCAUUUGCAAGUUUCCAGGAGGCUUGGGGACUAACAAUAAAUGGAGCUAAAUACAACUCCACUCGUGCCCCGGCUGGGGUUGGCCCCUUUCCAGCCGCUAUCAUGUUCUUAAUUUAUAAAAUUAAUGGUGGUCUCUCAAUGCAAUGGACAUAUAAUACCUAUAGAUGUGCAGAGCUAAAUUAUAUUCUGUGGAGUUCACUCAUCUCACACUGCCCUUUUUUUAAGGACAAUCUGUGCUAGGACAGCUAGCUCACAUGUUACUUCCUCAUUAUCGCUGUGUAUAGUUGGUCAGAGGUGAAUUCCAGAAUUCCCUGGGCUUCCGGGUCCCCUUGGCUUAUAAUUAACUAACAGACCAUGUGGUCACCAUGUCCCGAGCCCAAAAUAAUAAUAAUAACACACCUGCCCCCAAAAUACAGAGCCUGCUCUCCUUGGCAACAAAAGCAACCGAGUCUUUCCUAGCCCUAACAUGUGACUGAAUUGCAUGUAAUCCCACUCUAUUAACCCAUCACCUCCUGCAAAUUAGAAAAGUAAGGCAGGGACGGGUUUGCUUAAUCAGAUUUAUUUUUAAAUUCGAAACUGUUGUUACAUUAUUAUCCUUUUUUUUAAAUUAAUGUGGUUAUUUUUAACUUGGUCCAAAAAAGCAAAAACUUCAUAUUUUGACACAAAAAUCUUGCUUGUAAAUGAUGAGCACCAUUGGUUGUGAGAUUUUGAUUGAAACACAUGAUGGAUACCGCUGGAUAAAAUGCUAUUAAGUAUCGGUAAUGUGAGCUGUCACUCCCUGUCUGGAGACACCUGGAUCAGAUGAAGCGAAUGUCACAAAUCAGAUUGACGCAGUGACUUGGAAAAUGGGGGAGAAAGAUGUAUAUCAGAUUUCAAAAUCACAUAAAAUAAAUCUUAUUCCAGGUCUAUUUCAACAAUAAAAAUAAGUUUCAAUUAAAAUUCACAGAGUGAACCUGAAUAUUUAUUUUUUAUUUUUUUCCGUACCAACCUGUACAGACUCUCAAAUCUUUUAAUGAAUUGAUUUGGUCAUAUGCCAUGUAUUUGCAAAGUGAACACAAGAUGUCCUUGGAAUUAUACAUUUUUCCCGUCAGAUCUUUAUGGUUUUGGAAGCAAGAAUCGUUUGUGUAAUGACAUUUUGUCCUAGAGGAAAAAAAAGUCACACUUCAUACCAUAUCCAUGACUUGCCAUAUUUUGUUAAUUAAUCUAUAUUAGAUAUUUUUUAUACUAAUGCAUUUUUUUUUAUUAUUAUAAUGGAUGUGUUUAAUUUUAUUACUGCCCGGAAAGUGAAAAUGUUGCCAGCAUUUAUUAUUUUUUUUUUCUUUUCAUUUUUACUUAAUGAACACAAAAUAUGAAAACUGAUAGUUUGGCUGUGCUAUGUUAGGAACAUAAAUUUUAAAAGUAAGUAUUUUAAUCAGUGCUCGAUGGAUUCGUUUAAAAGUGGUCCCAUAUUUUCUCUAGUGUUAGAGGCUGCAGUAUCAAUCAGUUUAUUCACAGGGUACAAUGAAGGCAUGAUUUUAACAAUUUGGCUUUGUGUCUGUUUGUACAGGUGUUGGUCAGAUAGUGCAAACAGUGGGAUUCUGAAAUGACUUACUCCAUACCACCCAAAUGUUCUUCUUUCAGGCCUAAAUCCUUUGAAUCCCAAAAUUUAUAUCCGGCCUCAGCUAGUUUUAAACUUAAAAAGCCAAGUUAAUAGAAGUAACAUCUCCGUACAUACCAUAGGAAAAUAUACAUGCUAUUUAAAUCUUAAAGGUUACCAACCAUCAAUAAAAAAGGACCAAAAGGCCAGACACAUGAGCUAAAAAGGUAUGUAAAUCUUUAUAUACAUUUAGAACCCUCUACAAGCACUAUAAAAAGUACAUUGUCCUAAAGGGACACUCCAAGCACUCUGCGCUUCCUGUAGGUGAAAAUUCUGAAGCCAGAUGCCACCAAAGGAGGAGUGGAGACCAGCGCUUGAGGCAACUUAAGGAACACUAUAGGCACCUAGACCACUUCAACUCAUUGAAGUGGUCUGGGUGCAGUGUCCCAGGUCCCUUAACCCUACAACGGUAAAUAUUGCAGUUUUUAAUAAACUGCAAUAAUUACUUUUUAAGGGUUAACUCCAUCUCUAGUGGCUGUAAUUGACACCGGGCAUCCUCAAGCUAUGCAUGAGGACAUUCAGCACCCGAAAACCCCAUAGGAAUUAAUUGUAUAAUGCUUUCCUAUUGAGAAAGUCCUAAUGCGAAUGCGCCGUUUGCCGCGCAUUAGGUACUUCCCUCCGGCUGACGUCAGCGACAAAGGUGGAGCCUGAACAGGGCCAGACGACUUUAGAGCUAGAAUCAAGUAAUGGAUUGGUGGGGGGACGGGAUGGGUAAACUAUAGGGAGCUAUAGUGCCAGGAAAGCAACUUUUUUUUUUUUUUUCUGAUACUAUAGUUUCUCUUUAAGGGUUAAAGGGAAACUCCAGUGCCAGGAAAACAAUCCGUUUCCGGGCACUGCAGUUCCCCUCUCCAUCCCACCCCCCAAUCCCCGGUUGCUGAAGGGGUGAAAACCUCGUCGCUGCUUCCGCCGCCGCUGCUGCUCCUCUGCAUUACGUCGGCCAGUGGGCGAGACUGAUCCCGCCCACCGGCUGGGGAGACCUAAUGCGCUAUGCCGUGCAUGCGCAUUAGCGCUCCCCAUAGGAAAGCAUUGAAAAUGCUUUUCAAUGCUUUCCUAUGGGGAAAUGAGCGACGCUGGAGGUCCUCACAUAGCAUGAGGACGUCCAGCGACGCUCUAGUACUUUCCUGUACUAGAAACCAGGAAGUGCCCUCUAAUGGCUGUCUAGUAGACAGCCACUAGAGGUGGAGUUAACCCUGCAAUGUAAUUAUUGCAGUUUAUAAAACACUGCAAUAAUUACACUUGCAGGGUUAAGAGUAGUGGGAGUUGGCACCCAGACCACUCCAAUGGGCAGAAGUGGUCUGGGUGUCUGGAGUGUCCCUUUAAACCGUUCAUGAACAGUUUAAACCCUUGAGGUAAGAGUGCCUGCAUGGUCCUCCUGGCCCAAAACAACUUCAUGUUGAUGGAGUUGUUUGGUGCCUAAAGAGUUCCUUUAACUGUGGUCUGCUCCCUGUUUCUGCUACAGACUGCUCUCUGUCUGAGCUAAAACUGGUGAUGCAGGGCUUAGCUCGUUGUCUGAGAGAAAUCCGCUGCUGCUCGCAGGUACUGAGCUACCCCAGUACCAAAACGGUGCAGAGGUGGGCAAGGGUACCAUUCUAAAUGGGCAAUGGUGCAAAUCUAAAGUGGCUUAACUUCUCACUAUAUGGUCCUGGCACCAUAACCACUACAGUGUGUUGAGAGAGUUUAUUUUUAGUGCCUCACAAGCUAAGGGAGCAAGUAGGACUCACAUUGUAAUCACACCUGGCAUAGCAUAACAUCACAUUUCAGUACAUUUAGUAUACAUGUUUUUGGACAUGGGCAAAUAAAGUAGAUUGGAAAGCACUAGAAUAUAACUUGUAUAGCUUAAAGGUACAGUCCAGGCACGAUGACCACUAAUGCCCAUUGCAGUGGUCUGGGUGCCAGCUCCCACUACCCUUAACCCUGCAACUGUAAUUAUUGCAGUUUUCAUAAACUGCAAUAAUUACCUUGCAGGGUUAACUCCUCCUCUGGUGGCUAUCUACUAGACAGCCACUAGAGGGCACUUCCUGGAUUAUUGCACAGAAAACCUGUGCUAGAGCGUCACUGGAUGUCCUCACGCUGUGUGAGGACCUCCAGCGUCGCUCAAUUCCCCAUAAGAAAGCAUUGAAAAGCAUUUUCAAUUCUUUCCUAUGGAGAGCUCUAAUGCACAUGCACGGCAUUGACGCGCAUGAGCAUUAGGUCUCCUCAGCUGGCGGGCUGAUGUAAUGAAGGGGAGGAGCGGCGGCGACCUGAAAUCACUGCCGAGGGACAUCGGCUCGGGUCUCAGGUAAGUCACUGAAGGGGUUUUCACCCCUUCAGCAACCGGGGAUGGGUGGUGGGAGGGAGAGGGGACCUGCAGUGCCAGGAAAACUGAUUGUUUUCCUGACACUGGAGAGUCCCUUUAAAGGAACACUCCAAGCCCCAUGACUACUACCACUGACUGUUGUGGUUAUAAUGUCAGGAGUAACCUUCCCCCUCCCAUUGUCAGUAGUUAAACCAUUUUUAGAAUGGUGCAGUAGCUUUCACUCUCAACCCUUCUCUUUAUUCCAUCCUCCUACUGGACUAUUUAAAUAACUUCAAUUUUCUCAUCUCCCAUAACUGUUCUUUUUUUUUUAAUUUUGUAUAUUUAAUUUCCAUUUUUGUACAAUAGAGUUCUCUCCCUAUACAGGUUGUGUUAUGAGAUGCUAUGAAUACAUUUAAAAAAGGCUUGGAUGCUUUUUUGCAUAAACCUAAUAUUCAAGGAUAUAAUUGAUAUGUAUAUAAACAGGUUGUUGAUCUAAGGAGAAAUCUGAUUGCCAUUAUGGCAGGAAGAAUGAUUUCUUUCCCUUUUAGUAGCAUAAUUGGGAAUGGCUUUAGUUGUUUGUUUUUGCUGCCUUCUUGAUCAACAGCAUAAAAGAAUGGGCUUCACGGUCGAACUUGAUGGACUUUAGUCUUUAUUUCAGGUUAGACAACAAUGUUACUGUAUAAGAAUAAGUCAAUGUACAGCUUUUACACAAAAUGAAAAUGCUGUAAAGAUAAUACAUUGUCUGUAUAAAUGGGGGGGUCAAAUCCUACCUAGAGAAUCCCUUGAAUAUCUCCACCCUCAAAAUAACUGGAGUCCCUAGGCAUCAUCUUACCUUAAGGUGUUUCUGAAUGGUUUACCACCAAAGUUGCGUCCUUGGGUACCCAUUCAUGUUACCUCCCCUUUACUCUGUUUGACCUUCCUGCAAAAAAACAUUGCCUUGCAUGUUAGUGAUAGACUGAAGGUGUCACAUAUCUCUAACAUACUGUUACUCACAGGCACUCAAGACAGAGAAGAGGGAAGUCCAGGGCCCCAAGAUGUGCUAAACCAUUGAAGAUCACCAUAGAUUCCAGCCUCCAAAAUGAAUUCAUUGUGAUAAUGUUGUAAGAAUGGAAAGUAGAGAUAAUUGUUUGUUUGCACUAGCUGUUCUGUGACUGUAAAAUAUUUUGUAAGAUUUUACUGUUACAAUCAAACAUGGUGUACUGAUGAAAAUAUUGUUAUUGUUUUUUUUUGUUUCAUAGGUAAUCAUUGACUUCUAAGUGCUAAAAAAAUGAGUCACCUCAGGGCCUUCACUGCCAGAUUAAAGCCAUAUGGUAUUUCUUUGCUGGCGAUGAAAGCUACAGCCCCAAGGCCUACACUACCGAGAUGUUGCCUACAUUCUUCUGGGAGCAAAGAGCCAUUCUUAAGUGGUACCAAUUCUAGUUACGUGGAAGAAAUGUAUUAUGCAUGGCUGGAGAAUCCAAAAAGUGUCCACAAGGUAAACGGAGUGGAAAUAGUUUUCUG
RNAcentral lists this long non-coding RNA (14448 nucleotides) under Pelobates cultripes (western spadefoot toad). Lineage: Eukaryota; Metazoa; Chordata; Amphibia; Anura; Pelobatidae. The record is from RNAcentral.